RNAcentral lists this long non-coding RNA (428 nucleotides) under Linum usitatissimum (flax). Its description in RNAcentral is "long non-coding RNA (LUSI_LNC001545)". The record is from RNAcentral. Lineage: Eukaryota; Viridiplantae; Streptophyta; Magnoliopsida; Malpighiales; Linaceae.
AUGCCGAAACAAGCAUUUGCGUCUUCUAGUUGUACAUCUCCCUUGGCAGACUUUUUGAAAUAGGCACUGGAUGAAGCAAAGCUUGAGGGAGUUAGGCUUCUUUUGCGGUGACGCCAAUAAACACAGGCCAAUAGCAAAAUCAUCAGUGUAGCUGGGACUCCAAUGCCUAGACCUGACAAGUUAGUUACUCAUUAUUAUGAGCAAACAUGGAAGGAAGGAAGGAAGCAGACAGACAUAUUCAGAAUAAACAGACCCGCUUACCUAAUCCCAGCUUCAACAGAGUUUUACCAUUUCCUGCAAAACAAGAUUCCAAAAUUAUAAUGCGUUCGUUUCCAUAGAAGGUAAAAGCUGAAACCCAGUAUUAAUGAGACAGAUGAAUCAUUAAUUUGCAUACCACCGCGGUUAAAGCAGUUAGUUGGAUGGGAAGU